Long non-coding RNA from Solanum dulcamara, 424 nucleotides. RefSeq lists it as uncharacterized. Lineage: Eukaryota; Viridiplantae; Streptophyta; Magnoliopsida; Solanales; Solanaceae. The transcript has 2 exons. The record is from RefSeq and is a predicted model, not a curated record.
AGGUAACUGAAAGGGGAUCUUCAUGAUAGUUUUGGCGGCCUGUCAUAAAUCUCUAGGAGUUCACACCGCCUCUGACCAUCGAGUUUUGGUAUGGAUACCCCUUCAGGUGUUGUACAAUCAAAAUAGUGAUUACUAGCUUCAAGCUAUGCGGUUGUUGCAUGGUCAUUGUUUGAUCAGGGUAAAUCAUUUGUACACUCAUAAGUGUAGGCAUUAUUUUGUUAUUUUGGAGAAUGGAAUAUUUAUUGAUACUUUUCCAAAAGAAUGAACCUCUUUGAGGUUAAUACCACCCUUACAGAGAGUUUCAUUAUAGGGUUCUUCAUAUUAAAACCUUUGUGUUGUUGUAAUCUUCUGGUGGAACCUCUGAACGGUUGUAUGUAUUGAUUGGAUUGUGACUAUUUGAGGUUGAGAUUUUUGAAUUCUUAAA